RNAcentral lists this ribosomal RNA (247 nucleotides) under uncultured organism. RNAcentral describes it as "partial 16S ribosomal RNA". It matches the Rfam family "Bacterial small subunit ribosomal RNA", at positions 357 to 619 of the family's 1533-position model. The record is from RNAcentral.
AGGAAUCUUCCGCAAAGGGCGAAAGCCUGACGGAGCAAUGCCGCGUGGAGGAGGAAGGCCUGUGGGUCGUAAACUCCUUUUCUCAGAGAAGAAGUUCUGACGGUACCUAUCGAAUCAGCAUCGGCUAACUCCGUGCCAGCAGCCGUGGUAAUACGGAGGAUGCAAGCGUUAUCCGGACUUAUUGGGCGUAAAGCGGCCGUAGGAGGUUGUUCAAGUCUGCUGUUAAACCGAGCGUCUUAACCGCAUA